UGGGGGGGCCCGAAGUCGCUAAGCUAACCGUAAGGAGGCGAGUGCCUAAGGUAUGGGGGAUGAUUGGGGUGAAGUCGUAACAAGGUAGCUGUAGGUGAACCUGCAGAAGGAUCA
RNAcentral lists this ribosomal RNA (114 nucleotides) under uncultured eukaryote. RNAcentral's name for it is "partial small subunit ribosomal RNA". It matches the Rfam family "Bacterial small subunit ribosomal RNA", at positions 1412 to 1525 of the family's 1533-position model. The record is from RNAcentral.